CAGGGAGACAACAAAAUGUUUAAUAUUAUUAUUUUGUCACCUUAGGUCGAUCGGUAUCCCACUUUUUAAUUUAUUAAAAAUUUCAUUUCCUAAGUUUUUCUAGGUCACACCCAUUAUUUUUCCUGGGCCAUUAGCUCAGGUGGUUAGAGCGCACCCCUGAUAAGGGUGAGGUCCCUGGUUCAAGUCCAGGAUGGCCCAUAUCUCUAUGUUGGGGGUAUAGCUCAGUUGGUAGAGCGCCUGCUUUGCAAGCAGGAUGUCAGCGGUUCGAGUCCGCUUACCUCCACUGAUUACCACCUCUUCCAUAACCGGUAAAAAGGAAAUGUUUUGAGUUGUGAUCAAAUUCUGAAAGAAUCUAGCUUCCUAAUGAAAUCAUUAAGAUGCUGGACUCAUUGAAUUAAAUUCAUUGUUUUCAGAGAACCUUGACAACUGCAUAGAUUAUUUUUAAAGACAAUAAGCAUCUUUAAUGAUGCAGAUUUAUUAUUUGUGCGAAAGCAUUAAUAACAAUUCUAUUAAGCUGAUGCUUCAAUUUUGAAGUUAUU
RNAcentral lists this transfer RNA (539 nucleotides) under uncultured cyanobacterium. RNAcentral's name for it is "partial 16S-23S ribosomal RNA intergenic spacer". The stretch from base 211 to 283 matches the Rfam family "tRNA". The record is from RNAcentral. Lineage: Bacteria; Bacillati; Cyanobacteriota.